RNAcentral lists this long non-coding RNA (1847 nucleotides) under Manihot esculenta (cassava). RNAcentral describes it as "long non-coding RNA (MESC_LNC003460)". Lineage: Eukaryota; Viridiplantae; Streptophyta; Magnoliopsida; Malpighiales; Euphorbiaceae. The record is from RNAcentral.
AGCUAAAUAAUACUAAUAAAACUCUAAUAUACUAUCACCUAUACAGUAUAUGACACAAAUUUACCCAUUCUAGUUAGGGUUAUAUUGACAGUCAUGAUUUCACAAUAUACAUUUUUAUUAUGUCGAAAAUUAAUUUGACAAAAGGUGAUCAUCUGAGAUAAAAAAAGAUGGCAGAGUUUUAGUGUGCGAUUGAGUUUAUCUUGGAUGGUUUACACUUUUAUUUUUUAUUUCUUUUUUUCUUAUUCUAUAGUGACAUAUAAAUGUCAUGCUGUUACAAUGCUACCUGCUAUUAUCAUAUAUAGUUUGGAUGGUUUACACUUUUAUUUUUUAUUUCUUUUUUUCUUAUUCUAUAGUGACAUAUAAAUGUCAUGCUGCUAUAAUGCUACCUGCUAUUGUCAUAUAGAGCCGUACAUAUAGACAUAUUCUAUUAUCUUUUUUUUAUCGUUAGACGAUUAUUUAAUUUUUUACUGACACUCGUGCAGAUAGAGUCAUGCUGUAGUUGGAUUUUUUUUUUUCACUGACUCGUUACGUCAGGUGAGCUGAUCCCUCUUUGACGAGUUUGGGCUAUUUAAUUUCUCAUCGGCUAUCGUGCUGAUAGGAUCAUAUGAUCCCUCUUUGACGAGUUUGGGCUAUUUAAUUUCUCAUCGGCUAUCGUGCUGAUAGGAUCAUAUUGUCUGACUCAUUACGUCAGGUGAGCUGGUCCCUCUUUGACAAAUUUGGACUAUUUAAUUUCUCAUCGGCGCUUGUGUUGAUAGAGUCUUGGUAUAAUUGGAUUCUUUUUUCCACUGAUUCAUUAUGUUAGGUGAGCUGAGUCCCUUUUUAAUAAGUUUGGGCUCCUGCUUGAUUGUGGUCUAGAUUGCGCGCUAACGAAUCAACUUGCAUAGUAAAUUUUAAUAAGUUUUAAAUUUGAUUUUUCUAAAGAGUUCGACUACGGUCUGGUGUUAGUGGCCGGCAAUCAUAAAAAAGUUAGUAAAUCAUGCUAAAAUUAAAUUAAAGGAGAAAGGAGAGGGAAAGAGCGAAGUGCUGAUGGGUUUCACUGUUUUUGGGUGACAAAACCUAUCUAUUUGAAAAUUUGUUAAUUUUUCAUUAUUCACAUAAUGCUCUUAUCAAUCAAGCUUCCUUUUUUUCUUUUUUUAUCGAAAUUACUCUGAACAAAUUUAACUGAAAAGCCAAUUAGCCAUUGCACGGCUAAAAGGAAUGUAUUUUCUUGUAAAUAGCUUGUUUAUCGCUUUUGAAGUUUUUUUUUUUUAUUUGUUUGAAUGCUUUCGAGUUUUUUUAUCUUUAUUUUCUGUAAGAUUUUAUUUCUCCUUUUAUUGUGUCAUGAUUUGAUCAGAGGCUUGCAGUCAGUGACUUUUAGCACCAAAAUAUUAUUAGCUUAUUAAAAUGGCUCCAUAAUUAUUAUGGACUAAAAAUGCCAUGACAAGAUUCUACCUUUGAUGGUAGUGGCCGACAGUGAAUUGAAAGCUUUGGUUGUUUUUUUUAGGUGGUACACGUGGUAGGAUGGGAUGUUCAAGAGGUUUGGUAUCUUUGGAUUUGUUCAAUUUUAUCUUCUUUCAACUUCUAGCUGUGUUUGCCUUCAUCGUUGAUUGGUAGUUCUUCAGAUUCCCGUGUGCCGAUUGUUGUGAUUUUCGAUCACCGACAGUAGCAAUUGGCAUGUGUCAGUGCUGCUAGGAGUCGUGAAUUUCGUUUGGGCUGAAUUCAUUCUCUGGGUUGAGUUUCUUCUCAUCAGUAGUGGGUUUGGAUUUUUUUUUUUUGGGUUAUUAAUAAAAGUUUGAAUAAUAAAAUAUAUAAGUUUUAAGCUAUUAAUUAUGUAACGUAAUAAAUUUUAAAUUUUGUACGAGCAAAAU